Pelobates cultripes (western spadefoot toad) is the source of this 305-nucleotide non-coding RNA. NCBI's taxonomy places the organism in Eukaryota, Metazoa, Chordata, Amphibia, Anura, Pelobatidae. The record is from the annotation of a GenBank genome assembly.
CAAGCUUUAACCACUUCUAUGACAUCUUGAGAUACCUCCUGUUAAUAUUGUGUAAUACACGGGGCAUGGGUAGAUGGUCCUGUAGCCACUUUCAGACAGUCUGUGCAGAGACUUUACUUUUACAAGGAUCUCAUCAUAUGCCUCACAAACAAUUCUUUAGUGUGACUUCCCUUGUAUGAUCCGGAUUAUUUUCUUCCCGUAGAGCUAUCAUCAUAGGGAAUUCCAGUUAUUGAUAGGCACUCUUUUGUUUAGUAAUGACAGAAAAAAUAGAAUGGCUUACUUAUGUCUCUUAGAGUGUGACCUUU